CUUAUAAAAGGUGUACAAAGUAUAAUUUAAGUUGGAUAAUUGUUGUCUUUUAUCCAGUCAUAGCAUUCAUCGAACCAAUUUUUAAGUUUCAGAUUCAACUUUUUAUCCAAACAAAGUCGACCAAUUCAAUAAAGACAAAAGAUAUAAAAAAGAUAAAGUUGUUGUAAAAUAAAUCACUAAAUAGAAAUAUGUAAGUUUUUUUUUUUUUUUUUUUUGCAAAACAUUAAUCAACAAGCAAUGUUUUUGUUAAUCAAUUAAAAAGUUAAUCACCAAAUACUAAUAUAUAAAUAUUUUAUUGUGGAAAAAAUAAUUUAGUUGAGUAAUAGAGUCGUGAUAUUGAAUAAAAUUUCAAUAUAAUUGGUUUCAAUUUAUUUUGACCACAACACAAGUUCUGGAAAUAUAAAAAUGAAAUAAUAGAAAAUGGACAUUUCACCGACAAAUUUCGUGUUUUUUUUUUAUUUAUUUUUUUUAUCUAUAUGAUGAUAUAUUUUGUAUUAUCUUUUUGCAAUUAUUAGUAUACCUUGUACUAUGCAUUGAUAUUAAUAUAUUUAUUAGUUGUUCCUAUAAAAAUCAAGCAUUUUUUUGUUGAAAAAAAUAAACAAAUAUAAAAAAUAUAAAUAAUAAUUAAAACACUAGAAAAUAAUGUGGAAAUUUUAAGUCGGAGAAAAAACCACGACUAGAUAAUAACAUUAUGUGUAAAGUUAUAACACAUAAAUUUCUCUCAAAUAUCUCACACCCUUAACACAACCAUACUCUCCAAAGAGAAUAUCUAACUACCUCAUAAAACUCUAAAACAAGAGAAAAAGAAAUAGUUAUAAAUAAACUUAAAGUGUUUCUAGUUGAUGCAAAUUAUAUUGAAAAACUAGAGUUGUAUAUAUAAUCUUAAACUUUAUUUUAUUUUACAAUUUCAAACAAUGCGAGGCAAUCUAAAUUUUCUCAAUUUCAACAAAAACUCAAUAUUUUAAUGAGUGCUCUCACUUCUAUGAUUUCACCUCUGGCGUAUUACUUUUAACACAUGAUAACCAAAGUUUUUUAUUUCAUCGUGUUUUAGAUUUUGGUAAGUGUUUGUUAUCCUGUGUUGUUUGUUGAAUGAUCGAAUAUUACACAUGAUCCUAAUUUUAAAUUGUUAUGGAAUUGACAAGGUCCUCCAAAAGUUCAAAAUUUCUCAGAAAAAUAUCUUAUGGCAAACUCCUUAUAAAUGUAAAAAGGAAGUAUCGUGACAUAUCUGACUCUGAUGAGUGCUUGUGUUGCUUUUAAGUUUCUGAAACUAUUAUGCAUUCUUUAAGAUAUUGUGAAGUGAUCAAAGAGUUAAGGGAGAAAUUUAUUUCUCUACAAGAUGAUCAUUGAAACUCUUUUUUCUGUCAAGGCAUUUCUUAGUGGAUGAGCUUCGACUUGCAAAUCACUUCUAUUAGCUCCAACAAUUGGAAAUGCCUACUGUAUUCAGUAUUAUGGAAAUAUGUUGUGGUUGGAUAGAAACCAAUGUGUGCUCGGAGGGAUGUGUCAAGAUCCUAAGUAAUACAAUAUAAAUCCUCUUAUGUAUCUUACUUUGAUACAUCACCAUCUUUUUGUUUGCCCACCAUCUUAUAUUGAUGAUAAUAACCAUGAGAUAAAUAUUAGGUGUUUCUCGCCCCUGUCCAAUGUCUUAAAGCUCAAUAUUGAUGGUUCUUAUAUUGGUCACUUUAGUCUAUCAACUUUUGGUAGCCUUAUUAGAGAUUCCAAAGGUUGUUAUGUUCGUGGCUUAACAACAAUUUAGGUCGUUCUACUUUGGUGAUGGUGAAUUGUGGGAUCUUGUUCAUGUGCUGCGAUUGGCUAGUAUUAUGGGUAUCAAUUCUUUGAUAGUAGAGAUGAACUCCCUCAUAAUUGUGGACAUAAUUAAUACCAAAAAUUCUCAUAAACAAUUGGAUGAACUACAUUUUAAUUCAAUUGUCUCUUAUGAAAAUGAUCAGAGAGAGUACUAAUGAUCAAAUUGUUUGUACUUCUAUAUUAUCUAGAAAAUCAAAUUUUGAUUUAAAAACACUUUAAAAAUUGAGAAUGAAUACCAAAAUACAAUAAAAUUUAAGUUAUGCAGACUCUAGUCCAACCAUAUGCAAUUGUUGGUUUUUACCCUCCACUAAGUUUACCAAAAUAAUGAAGGGAAUAACAAUUAUUUCCAUUACAUAUCAUCCAAUUUAUUCUAAUUUGGUUUAUGGCACUCUUAUUUUCAAUCGAUACAUACACCUCACAUGAACAUGAAAGGUACAUGGGAUCAUGGAUUUCAUAAGAAACCCUUGUCUUGGAAGCUUUUGAUGCAAUCAUCAAACAUUUGUUCAAGUGUUUUGAAUGGAGGAAACCCAAAUUGAGUGAUUUUGGUGGUGUCCAUGCUAUGUGUACCAUUAUCUCCUUCAUGAUUACUACACCUGUAAUUACACCAUAUUAAGAAAAAGUAAGCACACAUAAUUAACUUCAAAUCAAAUAAAAGUUGUUGGUGCAUCCAAAAUGCUAUUUAGGGUCUAUUAUAGAUUUUAAUAAAAAUGUGAUUUUAGUAUUCAAUAAUUUAAGAUAAUAUUUUGUAUUUGUUUAUCAUAGUAAAAAUAAAUUUUUUAUUUAAAAACUGUAAUAAUUUUUUUUUAAAUUACUAAAACAACUUUUUAUUUGAAGUAGUUUUUAAAUUAUUUUUAGAUUCUCAUUUUUAUAAAAAAAAUUAAUAAACAAAUGAAAACUUUCAAAAGUCGUUAAUUUCUUUUAUAAAAAGUGAUUUUUUACGAAAUAAAACUUAACAAACAGACCAUUUUUUAUGACAUUAAAAUUGAUACUUCUUUUGCAUCAAAAUUAAGGUAGAGAUGAUAUAUAACAUAUUUUUUUUUUUGAGGUCAAAAUAUAUAACAUUACUUAAACUCACUUGCUUUCGUAUGGAUAAGAAGGAUAUUUGGCGCGAAGCAUUUCGAUAAUUUGAGACCAAUGGGCUACUGGGCCUGAACAAAUAAGUCUGCCAGAUGCUUUGGGCUCUUCCAUGGCCAACAAGUGGGCUUCAAUCACGUCAUCUAUAUGGACAAAGCCCACUGUUGUGUUUGGAUAUUCUCCUUUCAAACCUGUUAAAAGAUGUGUGACUCCAAAUUUAGAAGAAUAAAUGGUGAACUAGUUUAUUUAUUUAUUUUUAAUGAAAAAAUGUACCUUUAUUUUUUUUAAUUGUUAUUUUAUUUUAUUUUAUAUUUUCAGUUCUAAAAUGAUACGAGUAAAAAAAAAGGUUCUAAAAUAUAUAAAUUUUACCAAAAUCUCCUUUGUGUUUAGCCUCACAUUUUUCUUAUAAGAAAAUUGGGUUUGGAUGAACUAAUAAUAAUGUCAACAUUUUUAAUCCAAAUAUAUAACAUGACAUCACAUUUGAUAUAAUUAUCUAACCUUUGAUGAUGUUUAGUAUGAUGUAAAGUGUGCUGGCUGGGUGUGGUGUAAGAAGUGGACCAACAACGAAAGAGGGGUUAACCACUACUAGAUCAAUGUCAUUUUCCUUUGCAAUUUUCCAAGCCUCUCUCUCUCCCACAGUCUUUGCAUAUGCAUACCACAGCUGCAUAAUUCAUGGUUCAUGAUACAAGCACAAAUUUCCAUGAUUAAUUUUGUGAGCAAAUCACUAACUCUAUUCAUGAAAUUUUAGUGUUUGAAGUUAAUGACAUUCUAAAAGAACAAAUGUGAUAGAGGAUUUUUAAUUUUUUAAUCAUUUUAAAAUUUGGUUAAUUUCAAAUUUUAAAAUGACUUUAAAGUUUUGAGAAGAAUAAUAUGAAAUUCAUCACUAAAUUUAGCCAUUAGGGAACUCAAAAGAGAUUUUAAGAUCUGUUUAUUUUGUAAAAAUAUUUAUUCAAUUUUAAAAUAUGUGAUUUUUUUAAAUUGUUAAUUAAAAGAUCAUAUGAAACUUUUAAAGUAAAUAAUUGUAACAAUGACAAUAAAAAGUUACUUCGGGAUGAUAUAUUUCUAAAAAUAAUAAAAAUAAUUUUUUUGAUAUUUUAAUUGGUUAAAAAAUACACACAAUUGUUUGAUUUAAAAAUCUUUUAUCUUCUUGUUUGUAAAUAAAAUUAAUAUAAAUUUUAAAAAAUAAAAUAGAAAAUAAUAUUGGAUAUUUUUUUUUAGUUUUGCGUAAAAAUGCCACUUAAAGCUGUGAUCCAAAUAAAAGAAUGAGACAUUAUAUCAUGCUUUCUAAUUAAUUAAGAAGCAAGUGUUGUUACAUUGUGACGUUUACAAUAAUCUGGAUCACUCCAAUGAGAUUCAUUAAGAGGAGAAAUUUGUUGCACAUCAUCACGAUAUCUUAUGGAAGAGCAAGAAGAUGUUAGCACCACACGUUUCACAUUUGCUUUGGCGCAAGAAUUCAACACAUUCUUGGUUCCUUUUAUACAUGGAUCAAUCAAAGUAGCCUACAACAUAUUUCAAAUAGUAAAGAGUUAUACCAUGUAUUAAAUAAUGUUAUGUUCAAUGGAUUGUUUCUGUUUGAUUGUAUUUGUGUUAAAACAAAUUCUUAAUUUAAUUUAUCUUGAUAAAAAAAUAUUUACUUAAUAAAUUUACCAAAACAAUAUGAUUAUAAGAGUCAAGAUUAAUGUACCAACAUAGGAAACACCUCAAACUAAGGACAAAAUAGAAAAAUGUACCUGAAUAUUGUUAUCAUAUGGAACAAGGACAGGGGACGCAGUAUGAAACACACCAUCAACCCCAAUUACUGCCUCAUCAAAGCUCCCUUCCACUAAUAAAUCUGCUUUUAAAAUCUUCAAUCUCUCUUUGUCUCCACUUAAUUGAGUAAGAUACCCAACCUUCUCCAAAUCUGCAAAUAAAAAUAAAAUAAAAUAAAAAUUGUCAUCGUUUUUAAAAAGGUUAGGAUUUAAAAAGAAAAUUUAAUUUAUAUAAAUGUACGUUAGUAAUUUUUUUUAUGACUAUUUAUAAAAUUAUUCAAAUAAUUGGUCAUGAUUUUCUAACUAUGUAAGACUUUUUAAAUUAAAAAUAAUCUAAAAAUUGUUUCAAAUAAAAAUUAUUUUAAAUAGUUUAACAUAAAAAUAUUUUUUUUAUAAUUAAUUCUUUUAAAAAAAUGAUUUUUAUUAAAAUGAACAAACACUCUAAUUUUAAUUUUUUUUUAAACUUAUAAAUAAUUUCUAAAUCGUUGAUUUCAAAAAAUCACUUUUUAAUAAUACAUAACAAACAGCUCUUAAAAAAAUGAAAAUAAUUAAUAGACCAAUGAAACACAACAUUACCAAUAACAAAUUUUAUUUGAAUUAAAUGGCUCUACCUGGGUUUCUCACUGUAGUCCUCACUGUGUAACCCUUUUCUAAUAAGGCUUUCACUAGGUAAGCUGCUAUGAACCCAUUGCCACCUGUAACACAAAACUCUGGCAUAUCUUUUUUAUUUUAUUUAUUUUAUGAGUCCCUGUUAAGUUUUGUGUUGUUGAGUCUUAGGUUUAUAGCUCACAUCGUAGUAUAACUUGGUCUUAUGUAGGACUAUCCAAAGUGGUAAAAGCAGGAGAGUCACGUUAAAUGCAUAUUUGUGAGGUAGAUGAGAAACGGAUGAUUCACAUAUAUCUAAGCUAUAAGGUUACCCACUAACUAACCCUAUCUAUUCGUUUUUUACUAACUAACUCUGUCUAUUAGUAUUCCCUAUGCUAUAAGGUUCAUAGAUGUUAAUUUUAUUUUUAUUAUUAAUCGUAACUAACUUGUCUUUUGUUAAUAAAUGAAUUUUUAUCUUUAAAAAAAAAUAAAAUUGAAGUACCACUGCAAAUCUUUUACGUUUAGAGAUCAAUUAUUCCAUAAAAACAGUCGCUAAACACUUAAACAAUCAAAUUAGAGACUAAAUUUUUAUUGGUCGGUAAAUUAUUAUUGCUAAUGUAGUGAUCAAUUUUAUGAUUGUUAGAAAAUAAUAGAGUUAUUGAAUACAUUACACACAAUAUUAGUAUAUAUAAGGCGGUGGUGGAACAACUAAGAUGUGUACGUUUAAGGGAUAUGAUUUUGUGAUUGGGGAGAACAUAUAUCAUUAGAAAUUGAAAUUAAAAUAUUUUUUUUUGUACUAAAAAAUUCAGUUUUAGUCCUCGUAAGAUUCUCAUCAUGCAUUCCACACACGUCUAGUUUAGCCCUUCAAAUUCCAGCAUUUGUCUCCCAUGACCUUAAUCUAGUCGUUAAGUUUUCAAUGAUCACUUGAUUUGAGUCUUUCGUUUUUUUUAUCGUUUUUCUUUUCCAACUCUAUAAUAGAAGGUCCAUCCAUUUAGAAAAGUAUAUAUAAGUUGAAUGCAUUUAUCAACUUUAUCUCUUCUUCCUCCUUCUGCUCAACUCACUUUUGAGUCAAUUCUUCCAUUUUCUUACGUCUAUUCAAUACUUUAGAGUUGUCAUUUUACCACAAUUCUUUGGGUCUCAAAGUGAUCAAAAUACAAUUAUUCCUUCAGUAUCAGAGUGGUUUUCGUACCAUAGUUUUUUUGGUUUGCGAGUGGUCUUAUCAUCAUAUUUGAGAUUGUAAUUCUAAAACAGUUUCAAUAGUACAGUGAGACUCUAAUACCGUUUGAUUGAGAUGUUUUAUCAUGGGAUAUCAUCGUUGAUAAUUUGUUUGUAUAAUUUUAAAAAGUGUUACAAAACGUCUUAAAGAUAACAACUUAGUAUACGAUUUCUAAAAUAUUUUUAUAUAAAAAACAAAAAUGAUCAAUUUUAUCUUUACUAAUAUAGCGAUUUUAGAAACUAAUUUUAGAGACAAAUCUAGUGAUUGAUAAUAGCAACCGAUUUACUAUUUAAUAAUUUUAAAUUAAUUGAUCUGUGCAAAAUAAUUAUUGAUCACUACAUCGGUCUCUAUUCAUUGUUAGAAAAAUUAAAUAUUAUAAUCUUUGUUUAAAUAAUAUAUAUAUAUAUAAAAUAAAAAAAUUAAUACAUUCAUGUGGAUUUUAAAACUGACAUAUGAACCGAGUCGUCAAUUUUUUUAUUUAAGACAUGGUCAAAAUAAAUCAUCAAAUGGAUGUAGAGUUAUAAAGAGUUUGAGACUCUAACAACUAACCAUUUUUGUGUUAACAUUCAUUAUAAAAAUAAACCAUUAAUGAUAGAACCCGUCACUAUUUAAAAUCAGCUACACACUUAAACAACAAAUCUAAAUUUUUAAAAAUCAGACUGAAGUUGAAUCCAAGAGACCUUCCAAUCCAAUUAUGAUUCAAUUGAUUCAAUCGAUUAAAUUAUUUAAUAAAUAAAUAAUAAAAUAAAUAUAUAAAAUAUAUUAAAAUAUUCAUAACUUCAUAAUUUAUAAAGUAAAAAAUCUAUAAAAUUUAUAACAAAUAGUUAAUAUUUAUAAUAAAUAAAUUUAAAUUUACAACAAAGAUAUCGAUAAUGAUUCAUAAUAUAAAUUUAAACAUCAAAUCUCAUAUAGAUAAGUCAAUUCAUUACAGAUGUCUUGUAGACCAAUUACACUUAAAAAAGAUUAUUUUUAUUUUUAUUUUUUCAUUUAUAAAGUUCAGGUAUUUUAAAAAACUCGGGCAAUUUUCCAAAAUUAAGUCUGGUUCAGUGACCCAGUCUAAUCAAAUUCAAGCCAAUUUUUUCUCAAUUUUACUAACCAACGAAUUUUUUAAACUGACCAAACCAAAAAUAGGUCCGAUUCUCAGUUAAACAGAUCGAACCAGUCCAUCCAAUUUUUACAAUAUUGCAACAAACACGUACCACACUAAUCCUCUUGUCUUAACUUCUCAUUUGAAUACACUGAAAGUAAAGUUCGAAAACAAUUUAAAGAAAGUUUCAGAAAAAUGGCAACAAAAACAUUUUUGAAAAAAAGAAUCUAAACAAAGUUAUAAUAGAGCUCAAAAUGAUUUCAAACAACACAUCUUGAUCCACCGUAAACAAAUUGUUAAGUUGGUUGAUGUUAGAAUUUUCCAAAAUAUGGUAACUUUUAUUUACUGGUCGCUAAAUUUCAAUUUGUAAGUGGGUUACUAAAUAACAAAUUCCCGUAUACCAAACAUAACUUAAUUGAUAUUUUUAAAGGAAGGAAAGAAAACUUCCUCUCUAUGUCAUUUCAAUACUCUUCAGCUAUAUAUAUAUAUAUAACAAAUAAGCUACUACUAACUUAAUUAUAUUGUAUACUAAACAAAAUCAAACCAUUAAUAGAAAAAUAUUAUAUUGACUUGCACGUUUAGCUAUGAGUCUAUGUAAGAAUCUUUCCUUGAAAAAGAAAGCUUUGCAAGCUUGUACUUCUCCAUUCUUUUCAUCAACCGCAUGCACUAUAGAAAUCUGUUAAAACAUUUAGUUUUAUAUUUUGGGAUUGAAAAAUUUGCAAAGUUAAUGUCCCCGUAAAUGAACUUCAAUAUAUAAACUUAGUGUCCCCGAAUCAUGGUUCAAUAUCUACUACUAACAAUAUUACCUUUCCUCUUACAUAUAUAUAUUUUUUUUGGUGAGCAUGCACCUCCUUUUAUUUGUUAGCAUCAUAUAUAAUAACUAUUAACAUUUCUCUAUAAAAAUAAAUUAUAUAUAAACUUAGGUUGUAGAAGUAGCCCUCUUCUUAUAUUCAUUUCAAACCUCGAAAACGUAUUUUAUAGUCAAAUCUAAUUGCUCAAACAAGAUGUUAAUUUUUUAUUUCAUUUAUGAAUGGAAAUUUAAUAGCUCCUAAUUAAAAGCCAAACAUUUAUUAAAGCACAAAAUAAAAUAAAUGAUUUUUGAAAAUAAUAAAAUAUAUAAAGAAAACCUUAAUUUAAGAAUAAUCAUCUAACUUCCAUAGGCCAAGACUUAUGGAAAAAAAAACCAAAUUUACGACUUACUUAUUUAUAAGAAAAGAAAAAAUAAAUGAUUUUCUUGACAUAGAAGAUAUGGUUUCAAUGUUCAUAUACAUAAGUAUUACAAGAACCAAAAGAGGCAGAGAGUAAAAGGGUGAUGAUAGAAAACUACAAAUUGAAGGUUAAUUUACUACUCUAACAACAAUAUGUACGUACGGAACAAUAAGAAAAUUCCUAGAAAUUUCACAAAACAUAUGUAGUAAAAUAUUAUCUAGCUAUGACGUGAAGGUGUAAUCUUGAUAACAAGGCCAGGGAAGACAUCAUCAGGGUCAUGUAUAUGAGGAUUAUUCUCAACAAUAAAAGGGUCAUCACACUUAUCACUAAUUGUAUGAAGUGUCUCACCUUCACCAACAACAUAUAUUUCAUCGCAUGGUUUGAUGGAGAAGAGGUGGUUAUUUUCCAUGAAGUUGUUAUGAACAUGAUUUGGAAUAAUAUUCAUAGAGGUGUCUCUAAAUAUUGUUACAAGUAUGAGGGCUAUAAGAACAAUAGCACAACACCAUGAAACUACAUCAGCUAUAUUUUUUGAGUUUAAGAAUAUUUGUCCUUUUUUGGAGUAAAAAGAAGGCAUGAUGAAUUGAUGAUGAAGAAGUGAUCAAAGAAAGAGAGAUAUUAAUAUGAGAAAAAAAGAGUGGUUUGGAAAGUUAUAAAGGAAAAAAAAGAUGGGACAUGAUGUGUAUGUGAAGGUCAGUUUUGGCGGUUACUAAGGGGGAAGAAAAAUGGGGGAAAGAUGGUG
RNAcentral lists this long non-coding RNA (9461 nucleotides) under Cicer arietinum (chickpea). RNAcentral's name for it is "long non-coding RNA (CARI_LNC002430)". The record is from RNAcentral. Lineage: Eukaryota; Viridiplantae; Streptophyta; Magnoliopsida; Fabales; Fabaceae.